CAUGCAAGUCGAGCGAGAAAGGCGGCUUCGGCUGCCGAGUAAAGCGGCGGACGGGUGAGUAACACGUGGGUAACCUGCCCUUCAGUGGGGGACAACCAUCCGAAAGGAUGGCUAAUACCGCAUAAGUCAUGGGAGGCUGAGGCCUUUCAUGGGAAAGCUAGCCACUGUUUACAAGCUGGCGCUGAAGGAGGGGCCCGCGUCGCAUCAGCUAGUUGGUGAGGUAAUGGCUCACCAAGGCAAAGACGCGUAGCUGGUCUGAGAGGAUGAUCAGCCACACUGGGACUGAGACACGGCCCAGACUCCUACGGGAGGCAGCAGUGGGGAAUAUUGGACAAUGGGCGAAAGCCUGAUCCAGCCACGCCGCGUGAGUGAUGAAGGCCUUCGGGUCGUAAAGCUCUGUGGGGAGGGACGAAACCUGACUGGUUAAGAGCUAGGCAGUUGACGGUACCUCCUUAGCAAGCACCGGCUAACUCCGUGCCAGCAGCCGCGGUAAUACGGAGGGUGCAAACGUUGCUCGGAAUCACUGGGCGUAAAGCGCACGUAGGCGGCCCGAAAAGUCGGAUGUGAAAGCCCUGGGCUCAACCUAGGAAGUGCAUUCGAAACUGCCGGGCUUGAGUACGGGAGAGGGUUGCGGAAUUCCCGGUGUAGAGGUGAAAUUCGUAGAUAUCGGGAGG
This 674-nucleotide ribosomal RNA is filed under the name uncultured bacterium. Its description in RNAcentral is "bacterial SSU rRNA". It matches the Rfam family "Bacterial small subunit ribosomal RNA", at positions 54 to 704 of the family's 1533-position model. The record is from RNAcentral.